GCCGGUUCAGGGUGUACGCCGCCUACUGCCCGAAGACAGCUGGGAUAGGCUCUGGUAACCCUUAUGAGGAAAAGCGAAUUAGAAAAAAGUUGAAUAGAACUGUAACUUUUAUACUUUGGAAUCUAAACGGGGGCUGCAGGUGCCCUACCAAUUUUUGAAAUAUAAAAACACCACUAAUUCCACAGCAACUGAGAGUAAUCUAUCAAUUAUGAUGCUAUCAAGUCAAGAAUAGGAAUACGACAUGCUGAACAAAGGAUGACAGUCGAGUAUUUUGUGGUCUCUGUCCCCUUGGCAUGUUACUUUUCAUUCCAAGAAGAUGAGCUCUGUUUAUGAGAAAGUGUUUUAUGCGCUCUGCCUAUUUCAUCCCUGUUGUUGCACAACAGUGAGCCAAUCAACUGACUGCUAUGUGCAGCUCCACCCUCAGAGCAAUUCCACUGUGGCUGGUGCCCAAACUGAAGAUGGCAAAGUUUCAUUGUUACAAUGGAGAUGUAACACACACACACACACACACACACACACACACACACACACACACACAGCGAAGGUGAAAAAAUAUAUCGGACUACAUUCCCUUAAAAAGAUGAACAUGACGCCUAUUAAGCAAACGGUGAGCCUGAUGCGCUUCAUAAUCAAAGGUUCAACACUGUUUUGCUGUAUAGCUGCUACUCUGCAGGUCAAAGUGUUCCAGCCUCAAUAAUUCGCCGCCAUCAGCAAUAUUUCAGCCGGCAAACAAGCUCCUGCAUUCCCCACAUGGCUUCUCUACAAACACAAUGAGUUCAAACAAUCCACAAUGUGAAUCUCCUCGGCUCGGUUUGGAGUUUUCUUUUGUCUCCUGAUUUGGAAGCCUCCAACCACAUUUAUCUCCAGAGAUUUGACAGGGACUAUCUCACAACCCAAGUGCUUAUUGAUCACCUUGUUGUGCACUCGCUCUCUCACCCUGAGCUCGGAUCACACAAACAGCCCUCCGAGCACAGGCUGCAACACUUUACGGGAACUCACAACAACAUGCACCCUCCUUGACUAGAAAAUCAGGAGUGCGAACACAAGAUUCCGACAUUCCUGUCUUCCUGUCUAAACAAACGCACGGCACUGACGUCCGCGAAGACUAAAACAGCAAUGAGAAGUACAUCUCAGGAACGAUCACGGAUUGUACAAGUUAAUACAAAUCAAUCCUCUGUUUGCCAAAUGAAUGAUACACAUUCUUUCCAGGAGGAAUGCUGCCAGUCUCCCCGACUCUAGUAGCCAUUAAGGGGCAGACAGGAGGAGAAUGACGGCCCCAGAGAGUGGAGCAUGAAGAAACUCGAUCCGGGCCGGGACUGCUGCACUCGCGCUAUAAGCGGAGCCAAUGUCAAGCGGGCGUGGGCCCACAACAAAGAAUAAUAAUAAAAAAGUGUAAAAAGCAACAAC
This is a long non-coding RNA of Hippocampus comes (tiger tail seahorse), 1407 nucleotides long. RefSeq lists it as uncharacterized. The transcript has 3 exons. NCBI's taxonomy places the organism in Eukaryota, Metazoa, Chordata, Actinopteri, Syngnathiformes, Syngnathidae. The record is from RefSeq and is a predicted model, not a curated record.